Molecule: non-coding RNA, 67 nt
Organism: Parelaphostrongylus tenuis
Lineage: Eukaryota; Metazoa; Nematoda; Chromadorea; Rhabditida; Metastrongylidae
Source: the annotation of a GenBank genome assembly
ACGGUGUAGUGGUAGAGCACGCGUCCCCGGAUAGGAUGAAACGUGGGUUCGAUUCCCGCCUGAGGUC